Molecule: transfer RNA, 73 nt
Filed under: Vicugna pacos (alpaca)
Lineage: Eukaryota; Metazoa; Chordata; Mammalia; Artiodactyla; Camelidae
Description: tRNA-Ala (AGC) (tRNA-Ala-AGC-689-1)
Rfam family: tRNA
About the family: Transfer RNA (tRNA) molecules are approximately 80 nucleotides in length.
Source: RNAcentral
GGAGGGUGUAGCUCAGUGGUAGAGAGCAUGCCUAGCAUGCAUGAGGUCCUGGGUUCAAUCCCCAGUACCUCCA